UUUCACUUCAUUACGGCAUUCCCAAAGGUAACACAAAUUUCAUUGCGACACUUAACUUCACGACACCAAUGUUCAUAAUGGUGCUAUAAAUUACAACAGAAUCUGCAACAAUUGCUACUUUAUAUUAUUUGCACACGCAUUCCAUAUUUUUUAUCGCACUUCCAAUUGCAUUUUUGCAAUUCGUUUACAUCUAAGUAAAGGAAUAUUUUCAAUAGAAUGAACUUGAAUAGCAUCUGGUGUAAUUGCACUCAUAGUUGGGUCAUAAAUUUGAAAUCAUUCAUUGAUUAAUCAUUUUGAAGUUAAUUAUGAAUUUAGAGCAACCGUUGUUGGCAAAAUAGUUGUUAAAGCACUUUGCUAAUAUAGUUGGUAAAUAUCUAAUAUAAUGUCUAUACGACAGAAGUUUAAAUUACAGAACAGAUGAAUUUUACUAGCGUACCAAGCAGAGUAGUUCAAAACAGCACUAAUAUACGCCUGGCUAACGGUGCCUAGCUUCUCUAAAGCUUCUCACCGUAAAGCUGACUACUCUCAUCAAAGUUAACGGUAAAAGCGGUUACUGAAUCGUGUAGAAACCAGUUGGGAAUAUACAUUAUAAAACUUUAAUAAUUUCUGGCAUAUAAUGUUAUUGAACUUCUUUACAUAAUC
Molecule: non-coding RNA, 642 nt
Organism: Schizosaccharomyces pombe (fission yeast)
Lineage: Eukaryota; Fungi; Ascomycota; Schizosaccharomycetes; Schizosaccharomycetales; Schizosaccharomycetaceae
Source: the annotation of a GenBank genome assembly